Carlito syrichta (Philippine tarsier) is the source of this 452-nucleotide long non-coding RNA. RefSeq lists it as uncharacterized. Lineage: Eukaryota; Metazoa; Chordata; Mammalia; Primates; Tarsiidae. The record is from RefSeq and is a predicted model, not a curated record. The transcript is spliced from 2 exons.
UCCAGGAAUUCCUGGUGAACAGAAGAAUGGUGUGGGUCCUCAGCCUCUGGCAGAGAGCAUAGGCCUGGCUUGGCCGGGUUCCUCCUUCCCAGGAGCCUUCUGUCCACCACCCCCGAGGACCUGGCCGUCAGCCCCUCUGUGAUCGCACCCUGGUAACCUUGACAACCCUGCUGGCCUACCUCUGCACUGCUCGGCCACCACAGAGCCUGAAGAGGGCAUUCUAGCCGCUGUGCAUUGGCCCAGGCCAGGUUCUCGUCCUGCUUAUGCUGGCCUGCCCUCUGACACUGCCAGGCAGUUCACGUGCCAGUCGGUGCUCGGUUUUCUCCAAGGCCAACAGGGUUCUUAUCUCUAACCUUUAUAUUGUUCACAUCUCCCGAGCUCCCCGUAAACUGUGGGGUCCUCGCAGGCAGGAACACAAUUGUCUCUCAAUAAACAUGUUGCAAAAAAGGAAA